UAGCGUAUAUUAAAGUUGUUGCGGUUAAAAAGCUCGUAGUUGGAUUUCUGUUGAAGGCAGCCGGUCCGCUCUCAGAGCGUGUAUCUGGUUUGACUUCGGCAUCCUCUCAAAAACGUUUCUGUGCUUUGUUGCAUGGAGCGGGGUUUGAGACUUUUACUUUGAGGAAAUUAGAGUGUUCACGGCAGGCAAUCGCCCUGAAUAUAUUAGCAUGGAAUAAUAAUAUAGGAUCUUGGUUCUAUUUUGUUGGUUUCUAGGGCUAAGAUAAUGAUUAAUAGGGACAAUUGGGGGCAUUCGUAUUAACGCGUC
This 306-nucleotide ribosomal RNA is filed under the name Amoebophrya sp. RNAcentral describes it as "SSU rRNA". It matches the Rfam family "Eukaryotic small subunit ribosomal RNA", at positions 595 to 906 of the family's 1831-position model. Lineage: Eukaryota; Dinophyceae; Syndiniales; Amoebophryaceae. The record is from RNAcentral.